Molecule: long non-coding RNA, 1582 nt
Filed under: Chlamydomonas reinhardtii
Lineage: Eukaryota; Viridiplantae; Chlorophyta; Chlorophyceae; Chlamydomonadales; Chlamydomonadaceae
Description: long non-coding RNA (CREI_LNC000573)
Source: RNAcentral
ACGAUCUGCCACAGGUCCUGAAACAGCCACCCGGCCUGCCAGCCGUAGCCUGCACCGCAGCCAAGGGGAAGAGGGCGGCGCGGCGCGGCGCGGAGCGGAGCGGCAGGUGGGUUGGGGAGCGCCGUACAGCGCAUAUGGCAGCAUGGAUGGAGCAGCGCCCUUAAUUGGGCGUGCAUGCGCCCUGACCGCCCGCUGGCACCGCCCCCCCCCAAAACUGACAAACAACACAACACACCGCCCUAGGCCCUUCCCCUCCAGCCAGCACCCCGCUUCCCUUCGCUGCCGCUGCCGCCCCUACCUCCCUCCCAAACCUGUGCCUCCCACUCCCAGACCUGUGUCCCCACCGAGCGCGCAGCCCACCCACCCACCCACCCCGCACUCACCCACUCUCAGCACCACAUUGGUCUUCCAGCCGCCCUCGCGGUAGCCGCUGUUGAGCACCUGGUGUAGCACCCCCAUGCCCUGCAGCGCGAAGAUGACGCCCCAGAUGGAGAACGCCCACCUGCGGGGGAAAGUUACCGUACGGGCACAGGUACGGGUAGGGGCACGGCACAAGCGUUGGUAAAGCUAGGGUAAAGCAGCAAGAUGGGGGGUGGCACAGCUAGGCUGUGGGCUAGGCACGUGUGGUCUGGUGGGCGCCGCGGGCUGUGUGUGUGCGGGUGUGCAGUGUGGGUGUGAGCAGGUGCAGUUGCACGAGCGGCAAGGGCUGUUGGAGCGAGAAGGCAGGCCAGCAGGAGACAUAUGUGUGCCCACUAUUGCUUCAACGCAGCUCCCCUGGGCGGACUCCUGAGCUGGGCCAAUCGAGCGCGCGGCUCGGCUGCUCACCCGGCCGGCGUCAGCGGGGUGGAGUAACGGCCGGACACGACCGCAUUGGUGUCGCCAAACGCGCCCGUGGAGCUGAGCACGUUGACCAGGAUCUGUGAGGACGAGCACGUAGCAUCAGAUCAAUGGACAACGGGUAUUAGAUAGAGCAGGUGGGCGCGGAGCGGAGAUGUUGGGCGCAAGCACGUUGCGUGCCGGAGUGGGAAUGUUGGCGUCACCCCUGUCGGACCGGGGCCAUAAUACCUCCAACCCACACGACGCCCCGCCCCCGUGUUGUGUAGGCGCAACAUUAGGGUGCACUUGGCAAGCUGAUUUCGACUGGCACUCCAAGUAGGGCUUCGGGCUGUCCUAGCUGUCGCGAUGACGCCACACGCACACAUGAAGCUUUUACGACCCCUCUCGCGCUCCGUCGGACCUCAAGCUUACUACGCUCGUGUUUGAGGUCCACGAGCACGGCACCGCGAUAGCACGCAGCUGCUCAAACGAACGCGCGCUGGAACCGGGGAACGCCGCGUUCGCAAUGCUCACCAGGAACAGGUACCCCAGCAAGUUUGUAAUACGCAGCACCUGCAAUUUCGCCAAGUGAGUUAGGCAGCUUAACACAAGCACGGGGUUCACCGGAGCGCAUCCUUACCGCAGGUGCGGUCUCCGUCCGUGGACGAGGCUUCGACGCCCCACCAAGCAGAUACCACAUGUUGCUACGCUGUUUUAAGGACUUGACAUUGCUUAGCGGCUUGGGCUGACGCGUGCGACUGUUGCA